Molecule: ribosomal RNA, 916 nt
Filed under: uncultured archaeon
Lineage: Archaea
Description: SSU rRNA
Rfam family: Archaeal small subunit ribosomal RNA
Source: RNAcentral
UUUCCGGUUGAUCCCGCCGGACCUGACUGCUAUCGGAUUGAUACUAAGCCAUGCGAGUCUUUGUAGUAAUACAAGGCAUACGGCUCAGUAACGCGUAGUCAACCUACCCUAUGGACAAGAAUAAUCUCGGGAAACUGAGCAUAAUUCUUGAUAGAUCAUAAUGCCUGGAAUGGUUUAUGGUUAAAAUGAUUCGUCGCCAUAGGAUGGGACUGCGGCCUAUCAGCUUGUUGGUGAGGUAAUGGCCCACCAAGGCGAUUACAGGUACGGGCUCUGAGAGGAGAAGCCCGGAGAUGGGUACUGAGACAAGGACCCAGGCCCUAUGGGGCGCAGCAGGCGAGAAAACUUUGCAAUGUGCGAAAGCACGACAAGGUUAGUCCGAGUGAUUUCUGCUAAAGAGAUCUUUUGCUAGUUAUAAAACCACUAGUGAAUAAGGGGUGGGCAAGUUCUGGUGUCAGCCGCCGCGGUAAAACCAGCACCUCAAGUGGUCAGGAUGAUUAUUGGGCCUAAAGCAUCCGUAGCCGGCUCUGUAAGUUUUCGGUUAAAUCUAUGCGCUCAACGUAUGGGCUGCCGAAAAUACUGCAGAGAUAGGGAGUGGGAGAGGUAGACGGUACUCGGUAGGAAGGGGUAAAAUCCUUUGAUCUAUCGAUGACCACCUGUGGCGAAGGCGGUCUACCAGAACACGUUCGACGGUGAGGGAUGAAAGCUGGGGGAGCAAACCGGAUUAGAUACCCGGGUAGUCCCAGCUGUAAACGAUGCAGACUCGAUGAUGCAUUGGCAUAUAGCCAGUGCAGUGUCGCAGGGAAGCCGUUAAGUCUGCCGCCUGGGAAGUACGUACGCAAGUAUGAAACUUAAAGGAAUUGGCGGGGGAGCACCACAAGGGGUGAAGCCUGCGGUUCAAUUGGAGUCAACGCCGGAA